AUGAUUGGUCUCUUUUCUCAUGGAUUCUUGGCUGGCUGUGCUGUGUGGAAUAUUGUUGUGAUAUAUGUUCUAGCAGGAGAUCAGCUAUCCAACCUCUCAAACCUUCUGCAACAAUAUAAGACCCUAGCGUAUCCAUUCCAGAGUCUUCUGUACUUGCUUUUGGCUCUGAGUACAAUUUCAGCUUUUGACAGGAUUGACUUUGCUAAAAUAUCAGUAGCAAUCCGAAAUUUUUUGGCCCUGGAUCCUACAGCUUUAGCAUCUUUCUGGAAGCAGGAAUUGAGGAACAGAUUCUCCAGCCAUGGAUUGUGGUGAAUCUCGUGGUGGCUCUUCUGGUUGGAUUAUCUUGGCUAUUUUUGUCUUAUAGGCCAGGCAUGGAUCUUAGUGAAGAGUUAAUGUUCUCCUCAGAGGUGGAAGAAUAUCCUGAUAAAGAGAAAGAAAUCAAAGCCUCUUCAUAAUACCAGCUCACCUUUGGAGGAAUAAUGACCCAGUAUUUGUCCCAUUUUUGUUUUUAAAUGUAUUUUUAUAAGAUGUGUACAUGUGUAUUUGUAAUAGAUUUUUUGAUUAUAUAAUACUGAAACAUCUCUCAGUAUUAUGAAAAAUGUUAAAAUUGUGUUUGCUAUUUAUGUCUAAACAUUAAUUUGUCUAGCAUUAUCAUCUUAAUGACAAAGGGAAUAAUGAACUAGAAACCAGCAAGUGAAAGUGUUUAUUUCCUAUUUUCUCAAAACAGUUGUAUUUAUAACUAUUAUCUUAAAAAGCACUGGUUUAGAAAAAGCCAUAACUUAAAUAGUGUUAUAAAAUAUAUAUCAGGUUUAAACAUAAAUUUAGCGA
RNAcentral lists this small RNA (828 nucleotides) under Pan troglodytes (chimpanzee). Its description in RNAcentral is "processed transcript". The record is from RNAcentral. Lineage: Eukaryota; Metazoa; Chordata; Mammalia; Primates; Hominidae.